GAUGAGCAUGCGUCCCAUUAGCUAGUUGGUAAGGUAACGGCUUACCAAGGCUACGAUGGGUAGGGGUCCUGAGAGGGAGAUCCCCCACACUGGUACUGAGACACGGACCAGACUCCUACGGGAGGCAGCAGUGAGGAAUAUUGGACAAUGGGCGCAAGCCUGAUCCAGCCAUGCCGCGUGCAGGAUGACGGUCCUAUGGAUUGUAAACUGCUUUUAUACGAGAAGAAACACUGCUUCGUGAAGCAGCUUGACGGUAUCGUAAGAGUAAGGAUCGGCUAACUCCGUGCCAGCAGCCGCGGUAAUACGGAGGAUCCAAGCGUUAUCCGGAAUCAUUGGGUUUAAAGGGUCCGUAGGCGGUUUAAUAAGUCAGUGGUGAAAGCCCAUCGCUCAACGGUGGAACGGCCAUUGAUACUGUUAAACUUGAAUUAUUAGGAAGUAACUAGAAUAUGUAGUGUAGCGGUGAAAUGCUUAGAGAUUACAUGGAAUACCAAUUGCGAAGGCAGGUUACUACUAAUGGAUUGACGCUGAUGGA
This 532-nucleotide ribosomal RNA is filed under the name uncultured Bacteroidota bacterium. RNAcentral describes it as "bacterial SSU rRNA". It matches the Rfam family "Bacterial small subunit ribosomal RNA", at positions 224 to 753 of the family's 1533-position model. Lineage: Bacteria; Pseudomonadati; Bacteroidota. The record is from RNAcentral.